Molecule: ribosomal RNA, 216 nt
Filed under: Glomeromycotina sp.
Lineage: Eukaryota; Fungi; Glomeromycota
Description: partial small subunit ribosomal RNA
Rfam family: Eukaryotic small subunit ribosomal RNA (bases 44-216)
Source: RNAcentral
GGGUCAGUAGGUUGGUCGUGCCACCGGUACGUACUGGUCUCACUGAUUCCUCCUUCCUGAAGAACCGUAAUGCCAUUAAUCUGGUGUUGCGGGGGAACAGGACUGUUACUUUGAAACAAUUAGAGUGUUUAAAGCAAGCUAACGCUUGAAUACAUUAGCAUGGAAUAAUGAAAUAGGACGAUCGAUCCUAUUUUGUUGGUUUCUAGGAUUGACGUA